This is a non-coding RNA of Globicephala melas (long-finned pilot whale), 9099 nucleotides long. Lineage: Eukaryota; Metazoa; Chordata; Mammalia; Artiodactyla; Delphinidae. The record is from RefSeq and is a predicted model, not a curated record.
UGAGACAAACAUUCAUUUUGGCUGUCAGCUAAAAGAACUUGGAAGAAAUGAAGCACGUUUAUUAUGUACUGAUAUAUUCUGACUAGAUAAUCCUUUUUAGUUGGAGGCACUAUAAAAGCAAGUGCAGAUUACUGUUGGCAAAAUAGUAAAAAAUAAAAUUCAGUUGAGCUGCAAAAGUUUUGCCUCCAAUUUCACAGGUGAUCACCUCUCUAGCAUCAAGACAGUGACAGGGAGACCUGAUUUGCAGCCUGAUUUGCUGCAAUCCAAGUCCACUCUCAGGAGACAUAAGGAAAGUGAAUCUCCACCUUUUCCCAGAGGCUGAAACUGAAAUAGUGGAGAUGCAGGCAGUGAAGAUGAGCCAGAAGUAUUUCGUAAUGAAAGAUCAAAACAUGUUUCUAUCAGUUGGUACAAAAGAAUAAUGAAGAAAAUGCUAAAGAAUAAAUGUAAGAAUGAGGAAGAGAAUAGCACUGCCUCUUUCAUCAAAUCACAGAAAGUAUCUCCCAACCCAGGUGAUGGGUAAGAAUACAUCACAACUAAGUGAAAAAUCACUUUCCCCAGGAAGUUUAUAAAAUACAGAGAAUUGCAAUUCACUGCUCUUAAAGCUAGCUGUGCUUUGAUGAAAAAAAAAAAGGUCCAUGAAAACAUGCAAUUUCCAUACUUCCGGCCGAAAAUCUGGAGCUUGAGAACAGUUUACCACAUGCACUCCUUCCCACCUCAACAAAUGUGGAAACCCAAAAAUGGAACGUGUAUAGUCUGGGCUCUCGGGUGAAGACAAAGCAAAGUAGAGCCCCAGCUGACCCUUGAUGGACAUUUACCAUGAUCAAUGGUAAUCAAAACUUUGAAGAGACAAAGGACUUGCUGCUUGUCAGUCACUUUGCAUCAAAUAUUAUUCAUGACAUAUCUCGUGCCAAUCUUAUUCUUGCUACUGUGGAGAGGUCUGCAGUGAAACUUAACUAUGUUCGGCUUUUCAGCCAUAUGAGCUCCCCAUGAAAUAUUUUGCUGUGGUUAGAAAGUAAUUCUCACAGCUUGGACUUGGAAGCAAGUGCUGCUUUUUAUGCUGGAGGGAAGGGGUGGUUCUAGCUCCAGUCUUGUACGCGGGCCUCUCACCGUUGUGGCCUCUCCCACUGCGGAGCAGAGGCUCUGGACGCACAGGCUCAGCGGCCAUGGCUCACGGGCCCAGCCGCUCCGCAUCAUGUGGGAUCCUCCCGGACCGGGGCACGAACCCGUGUCCCCUGCAUUGGCAGGCAGACUCUCAACCACUGUGCCACCAGGGAAGCCCUAAAACUUGUAUUUUUAAUUUUCAUGGCAUUUCUCAUUUAACAAAGUAUUUACUUUAUUUUACCUAUUCAACGAACACUUACUGAGCAACAUUAUGUGUUAGGUAAUAUCAUAGAUUCAAAAGUCAGAGAGAAAAGAUGUAAAUAUACACAAAAUAUUUCAUAGUCUGCUAAAGACACAGCUUCAACUGUGUCCCUGUAACCAUGGACAUAAUGACACAGAAGAGAGACAAAUUUUUGAGUGUCCAGCCUUAAUUCUAAUCAUUUUGCUUCCUAGCCAGUUUUGGGGUUCUCCACUCUCCACUUGCAUCUUGCCUCAUCAGUGGAAUUUCACACCUGUGACUCUAUCCUCUGAGUGAAAUACACUACCUUGUGGAGGGUUAACAAAAUUCUUCAUUAGUGCUGAGGACUCUGAACUCUGAUUGGAAUUCUUCAGUCAUAACCUAUUCUUUCCAAGUUUAAAGAUGUUUUUAACAACUACUCACUUAAUAGAGACAACCUAUCCACAAAUUAAAAUCAGGGAAGGUCCUUAAUUUUUGUACCAAUACAUCAACCAUGAAUCUCUAAAAAGUAGAAAAUGGAUGGCUUGAGUAGCUGAAGUUGUGCGUUUCCCUUCUCCCAUGUAGAAGGCGAGAGCUGGCUGGAAUUGGGUGUUUCCCUCUCAAAGAAAGACAACACUUCUCCACAAUUUUGGAGGAAUUCACUAGGAUUGACAAGAGCACAGGCUCCGGACGCGCAGGCUCAGCGGCCAUGGCUCACAGGCCCAGCCACUCCGCGGCAUGUGGGAUCUUCCUGGACCGGGGCACGAACCCGCGUCCCCUACAUCGGCAGGCAGACUCUCAACAACUGUGCCACCAGGGAAGCCCCAAAACAGUGCUUUUUUAAUUUGGGGUUUAUACCUUUGUUCUUUUUAUUGUGGGUUGGUUCAUCUUUGUUUUCUAACUUGCAAAUUUUUACUAGGCCAGACUAUUUAUUUAAAAUAAACAUUUGAAGAUUUGCAGUCUCUCUUUUAAUAAUAUACAUGUCGAUAGAUAGAAGGAUAGACAGAUUAAAAAAAUAUAGGGUUUAGCCAUUACUGCAUAGAAUUUGAUAUAAAACUCAAACAAUUUAGAAAGAUAUGCUGUGGAAAUUUAGCCUAUGUUCAGUUCUGGUCUCCAGCAAUAGUUCACAGUCCCAAAGAAUACGUACAUUUAAAAAACUGUUUCAUGUCAGGGGUAUUAGAUAUACCAUUUCAUUUAAUUCUUCAUCAAAGAAGCUGGAAGUUAAUUUUUAUUAUUCUUAUUUUAAAGACUGAUUGGGUUUAAAUUGUUCAGUAAGGUAUAGUUAGUACUACAGAGUGAGUAAUAGAAUAGAGAUUCAAAAGCUCAUCUGCCUGGUUGCAAAUCCUCUUCUCAUUUAAGCUCACUAACUUCUAGUCAUUGGUGGAGGGUUUCUAGACUCAGAGGUCAUUAUUGCUUCUCUUCUUCCUCAAGCAGAAAGCAGAAAACACACUGAGGUAUUUCCCUUUGUGUAAACUUGGUGUUUUCUGAGGGAAAAUCAAGUGUCAGAUGGUUUAUUUCCUUCCUCCCUUCCUUCCUUCCUUCCUCCCCUCCUCUCUUUUCUGUCUUUCUUCCUUGGGCUUAAUCCAUUCUGUUUGAUUCUGCUUGAUCAAUGUUUAACAAUUAAGUACUUCUUAUUAUACAUACAAAAUGUAUUUCCCAUUUCUACCUUGGGCAUAGGGCACACCAAUGUCUUAAAAUUUUAGCUAGCAAAAGUAUAAUGACAAUAAGAGUAUUUGAGCUAAAUUAGAAGAAAAUACUCUGGUAAAUAUUGUUCCAGAUUACACAGGCUUGAAAACUCCUGCACCAAUUUAUUCUUAAAACUCAUGUCCUCUGAUUUUGAAAAAAAAAAUCCAUUUUUUUUCCCCCAAAUCUCUCAGAUCAUUUAGGAAGAAAUAUAAAGUGUUUAUAGUUUACACACAGAAUGGAGAUAAUCCCUUUGGAGGCUCUGCAGAGUCUGUGUAGGGUUGUAAAGCAAGAAGCAAUCCAGUAGGAAUGUGGAUGUAUGUGUAUACUUAUAUAAAUAUUUAUAUCUAAUUAUAUGAAUAUAUAAUGCUCUUCCUGUCAAGUAUCUGUAUGAUAUGACUGGAUAUUUUUCCACAGCCACAAGCUCUGUCCUUAUCAAGUAGAGAUAGGAAUGGGGAGGAAAUAGAGUGGACCUCUCUCUUUCGAGUGUUAAACACCAUACAACACACUUGACUGAUGGCCACUUUGCCUACAUCUCUGGCUGUGUAUGGUAACUAGUCAGCAGGAGAUAGAUAAUUUUAAACAAAUGUUACAAAAAUGUGAUAUUACUUUUUGCAAAUUGACUUGCUUGGCAGUAACAAUUUUACAAUGUCACCUAAAUGGUUAUUUUUUCCUGUAAAUUCCACCGUAUUAACUGGAAGCAAGUGUCCGGCACAUGUAGUUCAAUGUUUUGCACAUUAAGCUUAAUGAAAGUGUGUUCUUCAUGUUGGUGAUUAACCAACUCAAGAAUAAAACCAAUGAUAGCACAAUAGCCUUUACUACUUUCUCCUAUAUAAUGUAUUCAAGUGUUCGCUUUAGUUUAUUAUAUUAAUAUAAUAAUAUAAUUGAAAAUCCCAUUGUCAUUUUCUUCCAAAUAUUAAAACUAUUGAUAAUUUAUGUUGAACUAAUAAAGAAUAGCUCAAUUUAGAAAGCAGCAUCUCUAUUAAAUUACUACAUAAUUAACCACCUUAAGCAAUAAUUUUUUAAUUUGUUUACUUAGGGAUGAUUGAUUCAAAAAUUAACCUGGAUUACUGAAGUAAAAAUUUUCAAAAUUUCAAAACAGAGUUCAGUUAGUGAAUUUUGUCCUUAUUUGUUCUUUAGGAGUAUGACUUUUUCACCAUAUAUAUGAGAAAUAGCUCAGCUUGAAAAGGAAGAAUUAUUUAAGGAACAAUUAGUCAUUUGGGGAGUUGGAAGGCAGACACAAGUUAUACAAAGUGAAAGCUUCUAAUAGUCAUAGUGUAUUAACGCAUAAGUAUUCCCAAUAUACAGUAGCUUAAAGGAACAAUAAAAUGACAAAACCAAAGAGAUAAACCCUGACGCUAGUCCUAGGAUUUGCUCUCAACAACAAAUAAAAUAUACAAUAGAUGAAAAAAUGUUUUAUUUAUGAGAGUAAAAUGAAUAGCACCAUAGGAAGUAAGUUGUUUGCUGUAGUAAACAUCAAAAGGGCAAGAAUUGCAAUUUGAUAUGUCUCCCAAGGAGUGUGAAGCUCAGAUAAAGAUGUGAGUCUAAAAUUGGAGAAGUACAUAUUUAAUAUUAAUAGAAGUCUCCACUUUGUAUAAAGACCUUGAAGUGAUAUAUAUCUUCCAUGCUAUGCCUUAGGAUGACUAUUUCAUCUGUUAGAGACUAUCACUGCCUAUCUUUAUAAAGCUUGGUUUGUUUAUAGCAAGAGUACAAAAUGCACUAUGAUUCUGUGAAACAAGAAGAAAGUGGAACUGAAAGCAAGUUCUAGAAAUAUUCUAUGAGAAAAAAAUAGUAACAGUAUUAUUUUGGAAAACAAAGCCUGAAGUAUUAGAAUUCAGUCAAAUGUGAUAUGUCGUAUAGUCAAACUUGAACAACUAGCCCUUUCACAAAAAUGACUUUUUGUAGAGGUUAGGUGUUUACUAUGUACCAGGUACUUUUUUAGUCACUAUAUGUAUGUUAUUUAAUUUAAAUUUCACACACCUCAACAAUGUAAUAACUAUGCUAUUUUAUAGAUUAGGGAAAUGAACAUAUGAAAAUAAGCAACUCGCCCAAGGUCACAGAGUAAGUGGCAAUUCAGCCUUCAAGUAAAACUUUAACCAUAAAAACUUUGUUUAUAGUUUGCCUUAGUUAUUUAUUGCUGUAAUAAAAAUUGUCUUAAAAUAUAGUUAAAAUAACAAGAAAAUGUAAUUUCUCACAAUUUGGGCAGAUCAGAAAUUGGGAGCCACUUAGCUAAGCAGUUCUUCCUUGGGGAACUUUCAUGAGAUUUCAGUCACAAUGUCAGCCAGGGCUGCAAUCAUCUGAAGGCUUGACUAGGACUGGAAGAUACACUUCCAGAGUGGGUCACUCACAUGGCCAGCUUGUUGUGGACAGGAGGCCUCUGUCCUCCACCUAAUUCUCUGUAGUUCUCCCCACAGGACUGCUUGUGUUCUCAUGACAAGGCAGCUGGCUUCCCCAUAUGUGAGCGAGCCAAGAGACAAAAAAGCAGAAGUCAGUCUGCCUUUUCUUAUCUAGCCUCAGAAAUUAUAUACUUUCACCUCCCUAAUAUCCUCUGAUCAUACAAGUCUACCCUAUUCAACGUGAGAGGAGACCACACAAGUUCAUGAGUACUCGGAAGUCUGGGUCACUGAGGGUCAUCUUGGAGACUGGCUUCCAUAAAGCUAUAGGGCAAACAAGAAUACACUGUUCUCCAGUGGACGUUAAUUCUACUUUAUUUUUACUAUAUUAGAUAUAAUUCUAUUUCAUCACCAACAGUAUAUUGGAUAUAGUUUUCUUUAGAUAAGAAUAGAUAAUGUGGGCAUUGGAAGCUUCUCCCUAGUGAAGGGUUCAUAUCUUCCUGAUUUUACUGUAAUGUUUUGAAUAAUUACUGAAAUACACAUUCUAAAAGCAAUCAAUUUUGCAAUCAAUUAUGCAAAAAUUAUAGGCUGUGUUGUUAUAUAGUUUAACUUCCAAGGUAUUUCAGGUAACAGCUUUACAGAUGUUUUGUCAUUCCCUAACUUACAUCCUUAGCUUUCUAGCCUGUUCUAAUUUUAUCCUUGCUGCCUGCUCUGAAUGUAGGUAAUUUCUAUGACAGCAACCCAUUUCUUGGUACCACUUGUCUGUAAUAGUUAGGACAUAGGCUAAAACGGUUGCAUCAGUAACAUUUUGCCUCAUAACAAGCCACCCUGAAACUCAGCAGCUUGAAAAACAAGCAUUGUUUAGUUCACUACUCUGCUGAGUAGUUCUCUGAGUCUGGACUGGCUCCACUCAUCUCAGUGUGUGCUCUCUCAUCUGGCUAUGUUAUUUUUGGAGUUUGAUGGUGGCUAAAUGAUCGAGGUUAGAGGAUCCCCAGAGAAAGAGAACCAGGCAUGCCUUUCUUCACAUAAGAGAAGCCAUUUUGGCUGAAGCUAUUUUGUGAUCUAAGCCUGGCCACAAUGCUUGUCUUUGAGCAGGUGUCAGUAAUUUAUAAUGUUAAGUAAGAAAAGAAUGCAGGAUAAAGGACUGUUAUCAGGCAAGAGAAGUAGCGAUAGCAAAGAUAAUAUAUCAAUUGUAGACUCCCAGUUCUGUUUUUAUGGUAAAGAUUAGCCUGAAGUGCUCAACCACCAAAUCAACUGGAACCUAAGAGAUGAUGUUAACUUUUUCUGAUCCUCAAGGCUUCAAUCAACUAAAGCUUGGACUUGGCCAAAAUUUGUCCCAAUUCUAUGUUGAAUUCUCCUCUGCUCAAGCCUCUUCAUGAAUAUGCACAUACCCUUAGCUUUAAACUUUCCCAAUUUUGCUGUUGGGGAGACAAUGCUUUGGGCAAGAUCCCGGCUGUUCUUCUUACUUGCUGCAUAAAUAAAUACUUUCUUCUCCCACUCUUUGGUUUGGUUGUGUCUUUUGACUCAACACCCACCAAGAGGCAAAUCCAGUUUUUCAGGUAACACUGCCAGCUUCCACUAAAAGUAAGGUCCUUUCAAAUUCUAACCUGGUUUCAAAGCCAAUGCCACAUGUUCUGGAUUUUUAUUAUGGUAGCAAACAACUACCAGUUACCAAAUUUUAUUCUGGUGUCUACUGCUGCCUAACAAACUACUUCAAAGCUUAGUAACUUUAAACAACCACAAUUUAAUCAUAUUUCAUAACUUUGGAAUCAGUGAUUCAGGUGCAACUUGCUGUUGGAUACUUCUGCUCCAUGUGGCAUCAACUGGAGUCACUAGGUGGUAUUCAACUGGCAGCUCUAGUCUGGAGAACUGGUGGUGACAGCUGGAAGAAAGGAAUCAUCUGGUCCCCUUUCUCUCUCCAGGUAGCCUUAGGGCUACCCUGUGUGGUCUCUUCAGCAUAUAGAUAAGUUCAUACAUGGCAGCUCAGGGUUCCUCAGGAAUGCUAAGAGCCUAAAGAGGCUAGAGGCGGUACUGACAUAGUGUCAUCUCCUCCAUGCUCUAUUACUUCAAGCAGUCACAGGUCAGCUCAUAUUCAAAGGGAUUGAAAAAAGACCUGCCUUUCAAUAAGAGGAGUGUCAAAGAUUCUACAGCUACCUUUAAUCUGCAAAGAGGUUAAAUUACAUGGAACACUUGAAAUUCCCUUGCUUCAUAACAUUAGUUUAGAAAUCCUGCCUGCUUAUUCUUUUGUCAUUUACGCCCUUAUAAGUAAACUGGGAGAAAACAUAUUCCUUUGCAUAAAGUAAAACAAAAUUGUAGAGAUGUUAACGUGAGUCCACAAAUUAUGUCCAAGGAAAGAAACUGUAGCCUAGUUGUUUACAAUGUUUGGAGAUAGGCUUUGGGAGAAAUUUCUCUGUUCUACAUUUAUAAUUAUAAUGAUAAAAUAACUAAUUGUCAAUGCUUUGUGAGGCCUGUCUGGUCUUAGGUCCAGAAAUUUUAUAUCAAAGAAUCCUAUCUUAUUUAACGCAAAACCAGAGUGAGUAAUGCUUGGAAUUUUAUAUAAUAAGAAAUAAGAUAAUAACGAAUCAUUCGAAUUAACCUGUAUUUUUUUUUAUUGUCCUCAAUUUUCUUCUUAUUCAGGUCAAAAUGAUUAUAGCAAGGACUGUGCCGAAGAGAGAAGGCAUUGCUAAAUUUGCAAGACUUAUAACCAGGACACUCUGACAUUUGGAAACGUAAACAAGCAAAGGAAAGCAAGAAAGGUUGCCCUGUCUGACUAAAAAAAGAGCUAGAUAAUUUUAUUUCAAUGAGAAAACAGUGCACAUUUAUAAUAUUUCAGAAAAAUUUAGUAAGAUUAACAGUGUCUAUUGGAUUUCUGAGUGUGGAAUUUAUUGGUAACAUUUACAAAACCAGUUUAAAUAUAGUGAUGGUGCAGGAAGCCAAAUUGGAAAGUCUUGAAGAGUGAAUAGUAAUGGGAGGAGAGAAUCAGAAGAGAGUACUUAAUCAAGCUUUAUACUUGAUUAUACUGAAGGAUAGUCAAGAAAAUUGUUUGGAGUAUGAGGAGCAUGAAAAUCAGAGGAGGUUCUUAAAUUAUUUUAUGGCAAUCUUCUUUGGAAAACUACCAUGAUACAAAUUAAUUCAGUAAAAUGAUGUAUUUGGGGAGGAGGGGCAAAUAGUAUUUAUAAAAAUUAUUGCUUGCCAAUCUUUUUAUAGAAAAAUAUAUCUUAUAGAAAGUUAAAUUUCUGAAAAAUCAGAAGAUCUGCACCCACCACCCUCUGUAUGACCCCAUUGGCCUCAGCUCAACUUCCUUCUCUUUGUUAUUCCCUGCUUUCUUGGCGGAGCUGGGUUCAUUCAACUGACAGUAAGAAAUCUAUUUUAUGUCAGAGCUAGGUGCACACAUAUGCAUGUAUGUCUCAAAGUAUAUAUUAUAAAACAAUACACAUCCUUGUAUAUAUAAUAAAUUUGAGUAUUUUAAUUUUAGUCCUGCAGUAGUAAAGGAAGAAUCUGUAACCCGCUCUGGGAGUUGGCAAGAUCAAACUGCAUUCAUAAUACUACUAAAUCAUUAUUGUUCUUGUUCACUUUCAAUCUCUCAUGAGUGUGCAGAGAAGUAUUUGUUUUUGUUUUCCAGAAGCUACAUGCUGUAUAAUGAUGUCAGCACUCUUUUGAAUAAUUGAGAGUAUAGUUGUGUAUUGGUUUUCUAGAACUUUCUAAGUGAGUAGAUUUAGUAUAUAAAUAUGUACAUGUUCAAACAUUAAAUCAUACUCUUCUGGA